This 354-nucleotide ribosomal RNA is filed under the name Uraria crinita. RNAcentral's name for it is "eukaryotic LSU rRNA". It matches the Rfam family "Eukaryotic large subunit ribosomal RNA", at positions 1 to 353 of the family's 3401-position model. The record is from RNAcentral. Lineage: Eukaryota; Viridiplantae; Streptophyta; Magnoliopsida; Fabales; Fabaceae.
AGACCUCAGGUCAGGCGGGGCUACCCGCUGAGUUUAAGCAUAUCAAUAAGCGGAGGAAAAGAAACUAACAAGGAUUCCCUUAGUAACGGCGAGCGAACCGGGAAGAGCCCACUGUGAGAAUCGGUCGCGUUGCGCGUCCGAAUUGUAGUCUGGAGAAGCGUCCUCAGUGGCGGACCGGUCCCAAGUCCCCUGGAAGGGGGCGCCAGAGAGGGUGAGAGCCCCGUUGUGACCGGACCCUGUCGCACCAUGAGGCGCUGUCAGCGAGUCGGGUUGUUUGGGAAUGCAGCCCCAAUCGGGCGGUAAAUUCCGUCCAAGGCUAAAUACUGGCGAGAGACCGAUAGCAAACAAGUAAUC